CGACGGUCCCCCACUGUGUGACAGAUGGGAGCAGCAAGGGACCAAACUGUCGCCUGGAACCGCCAGCCUUGUGAGGAAUGAUAUAACAUAAAAUAAAGGUGAACUACACCCGUGUAUAAAAAGGAAAAGGCACAGAAGACAGGAUUGUAGCUGUACUCAAAAAGUGGAAGACAACAUUGUUGCUGGCAGUGGGGCCUGAGACACAUAAGACAUUGCAAGAGCCACUUGGUUUCUUCAAUUGAUCAAAGUUGCCAGCAUAUUGAGAUACAGCUGAAAAAAAUCAAGAUCAGUGAUGAAACUUGCAAAGGAUGCUAUUACCGAGAAACAAGUCUGUGAGUCCCCAGGCGUUUGAAUGAAGUUUCAAAAAUGAAAACUUAUGGGAAGUGAAGACAGAUGCACAAGCAACUCAGAAUUAUUGGGAGUGAAAUUUGACUUUGUCAGUAGUAUAAAAUGAUCAACAGUGAGUCAGUUGACCAUUUUGCACAAUAGUCAAUGGAAAAGAAAAAUCCAGUGAGUUGUAAAGUGGGGUAUAGAUUUACAAUCUGGGUUGACACUACUACCAAAGUUGAAUUUCACCCUCCUUUCAUUCUGCUAUCAAUGGUGACUUGGUUUGUCUGGUUACAACGGACAUCCAAUGUACUAGAAAAAUCAGGUCCAUACUAGAAGUAAAUUACAUUUCAAAAUUAUCAUUAGCAGAACAGUUUGUCCAAAGCUACCCCUAAGGUGAUAUUUGUAUUGCACUGAACUAACUUUUCCCUCAUCCUAAGGCAACUUAGGUCUCAUGGUUGGUAAACCUCACUGAUGAUUGGUUGUGCAGCCUUGCAGAAAGUAUGUUUAAUCUGACUUUUUUAAAAAUCCUUGAAUAGUACAUUCUUGUGCUUGACGGAGCAUGUAUUUAUAACUUUUUAUG
Molecule: long non-coding RNA, 910 nt
Organism: Pristis pectinata (smalltooth sawfish)
Lineage: Eukaryota; Metazoa; Chordata; Chondrichthyes; Rhinopristiformes; Pristidae
Exons: 3
Source: RefSeq, a predicted model, not a curated record